Molecule: long non-coding RNA, 868 nt
Organism: Scatophagus argus
Lineage: Eukaryota; Metazoa; Chordata; Actinopteri; Scatophagidae
Exons: 3
Source: RefSeq, a predicted model, not a curated record
UGGAGAACAGCCUAUUGCAAGACCUCUCGGUCCCGAAAGGUCAAGAGGUUGGACUAAAUUGAAAUAUACUGAGAAAACACUAAAUUAUAAAUUUACCCUCAGUUUGGUCAUGUUAAUCUGCUGCCUCUGUCAGAGCACAAUAACGUUGAUGUUUAAAGUUAGCGUUGCGUGAGCACUGCGGGAUCAUCUUGGUCAGCAGCUGACAUCGUUAUCAGCUCACUCACCCCAUCUAGUGGUUUGGAGGCUAAGCUACACUAAGAUAAUUCUGAAAUAAGACCCAGACGUUGAUGAAUACCCAGCAGCUAGAUAACACCUUACGGUAAUAAAAACACGAGUUGUCCUUAUUUUUAAAAAUAUAUUUUCCAACGCAUACCCUAAUUUUCAGUGUAAUUCAGUGUAAAACAACAGUUCUGCAGUAAAUCCUCGUGAAAGUUUGAGGUCUCCGUGAUGGCACUGCUCAGCUGCUCAGCUGCAGGAAUCCAAGAGGUAUAAGGGGUCCUUGGCGUGAAGAUGUUUGAGAGAACUGCUACAGUCAACAGAAAAGUCAGCUCUUUGACGGCGCUGCCCGAAGCCGAGCCUAAUGAAAGGAUUAGUAUAUGGCGGGAGUGAAUACCGGACUGUGCUCGAACAGAAGUCUGAAUCGGGAAAGACAGGGCGUCUCUCCAGCAGGACCUCCACUGCUGACUGUGAAAAUGCUUGAGGAAAAGGGUGCUCUGGGAAAAACGGGUGAGUGAGAGCCGGAGAGGCUGCUGUGAUGGAGUAUCAUCCUUUCAAUUACAGGAAAAUCCUCAUGAUGUUAUUGUAUGAGUCCAUAAAUCCUCAGAAAAAUAUGGCAUGACAUUAAUGGUGCGGUAGCGGUUUAAUAAUU